GGUGAACGCUGGCGGCGUGCCUAAGACAUGCAAGUCGAGCGGGCCGCGGGGUUUUACUCCGUGGUCAGCGGCGGACGGGUGAGUAACGCGUGGGUGACCUGCCCGGAAGAGGGGGACAACCCGGGGAAACUCGGGCUAAUCCCCCAUGUGGACCCGCCCCUUGGGGUGUGUCCAAAGGGCUUUGCCCGCUUCCGGAUGGGCCCGCGUCCCAUCAGCUAGUUGGUGGGGUAAUGGCCCACCAAGGCGACGACGGGUAGCCGGCCGGAGAGGGUGGCCGGCCACAGGGGCACUGAGCCCCGGGCCCCACUCCUACGGGAGGCAGCAGUUAGGAAUCUUCCGCAAUGGGCGCAAGCCUGACGGAGCGACGCCGCUUGGAGGAAGAAGCCCUUCGGGGUGUAAACUCCUGAACCCGGGACGAAACCCCCGACGAGGGGACUGACGGUACCGGGGUAAUAGCGCCGGCCAACUCCGUG
This 473-nucleotide ribosomal RNA is filed under the name uncultured bacterium. RNAcentral's name for it is "partial 16S ribosomal RNA". It matches the Rfam family "Bacterial small subunit ribosomal RNA", at positions 28 to 507 of the family's 1533-position model. The record is from RNAcentral.